GCAGUCGAGCGGUAGCACAGAGAGCCUGCUCUUGGGUGACGAGCGGCGGACGGGUGAGUAAUGUCUGGGAAACUGCCUGAUGGAGGGGGAUAACUACUGGAAACGGUAGCUAAUACCGCAUAACGUCGCAAGACCAAAGAGGGGGACCUUCGGGCCUCUUGCCAUCAGAUGUGCCCAGAUGGGAUUAGCUAGUAGGUGGGGUAACGGCUCACCUAGGCGACGAUCCCUAGCUGGUCUGAGAGGAUGACCAGCCACACUGGAACUGAGACACGGUCCAGACUCCUACGGGAGGCAGCAGUGGGGAAUAUUGCACAAUGGGCGCAAGCCUGAUGCAGCCAUGCCGCGUGUAUGAAGAAGGCCUUCGGGUUGUAAAGUACUUUCAGCGGGGAGGAAGGCGAUAAGGUUAAUAACCUUGUCGAUUGACGUUACCCGCAGAAGAAGCACCGGCUAACUCCGUGCCAGCAGCCGCGGUAAUACGGAGGGUGCAAGCGUUAAUCGGAAUUACUGGGCGUAAAGCGCACGCAGGCGGUCUGUCAAGUCGGAUGUGAAAUCCCCGGGCUCAACCUGGGAACUGCAUUCGAAACUGGCAGGCUAGAGUCUUGUAGAGGGGGGUAGAAUUCCAGGUGUAGCGGUGAAAUGCGUAGAGUCUGGAGGAAUACGGUGGCGAAGCGGCCCCUGGACAAAAUGACCUCAGUGCGAAGCGUG
RNAcentral lists this ribosomal RNA (705 nucleotides) under uncultured bacterium. RNAcentral describes it as "bacterial SSU rRNA". It matches the Rfam family "Bacterial small subunit ribosomal RNA", at positions 57 to 763 of the family's 1533-position model. The record is from RNAcentral.